AGCGAACGCUGGCGGCAGGCUUAACACAUGCAAGUCGAGCGGGCAUCCUUGUGGUGUCAGCGGCCGACGGGUGAGUAACGCGUGGGAACGUGCCCUUCGGUUCGGAAUAACUCAGGGCAACUUGAGAUAAUACCGGAUACGUGCGAGGGCAGAAAGGUUUAUCUGCCGAAGGAUCGGCCUGCGUCUGGUUAGUUAGUUGGUUAGGUUACGGCUCACCAAGGCGACGAUCAGUAGCUGGUCUGAGAGGAUGAUCAGCCACACUGGGACUGAGACACGGCCCAGACUCCUACGGGAGGCAGCAGUGGGGAAUAUUGGACAAUGGGGGCAACCCUGAUGCAGCCAUGCCGCGUGAGUGAUGACGGUCUGAGGGUUGUAAAGCUCUUUUCUCCGGGACGAUAAUGACGGUACCGGAGGAAUAAGCCCCGGCUAACUUCGUG
RNAcentral lists this ribosomal RNA (437 nucleotides) under uncultured bacterium. RNAcentral describes it as "partial 16S ribosomal RNA". It matches the Rfam family "Bacterial small subunit ribosomal RNA", at positions 29 to 507 of the family's 1533-position model. The record is from RNAcentral.